AAUGGGUCAGCGACUUAUAUUCUGUAGCAAGGUUAACCGAAUAGGGGAGCCGAAGGGAAACCGAGUCUUAACUGGGCGUUAAGUUGCAGGGUAUAGACCCGAAACCCGGUGAUCUAGCCAUGGGCAGGUUGAAGGUUGGGUAACACUAACUGGAGGACCGAACCGACUAAUGUUGAAAAAUUAGCGGAUGACUUGUGGCUGGGGGUGAAAGGCCAAUCAAACCGGGAGAUAGCUGGUUCUCCCCGAAAGCUAUUUAGGUAGCGCCUCGUGAAUUCAUCUCCGGGGGUAGAGCACUGUUUCGGCAAGGGGGUCAUCCCGACUUACCAACCCGAUGCAAACUGCGAAUACCGGAGAAUGUUAUCACGGGAGACACACGGCGGGUGCUAACGUCCGUCGUGAAGAGGGAAACAACCCAGACCGCCAGCUAAGGUCCCAAAGUCAUGGUUAAGUGGGAAACGAUGUGGGAAGGCCCAGACAGCCAGGAUGUUGGCUUAGAAGCAGCCAUCAUUUAAAGAAAGCGUAAUAGCUCACUGGUCGAGUCGGCCUGCGCGGAAGAUGUAACGGGGCUAAACCAUGCACCGAAGCUGCGGCAGCGACGCUUAUGCGUUGUUGGGUA
Molecule: ribosomal RNA, 616 nt
Filed under: Escherichia coli
Lineage: Bacteria; Pseudomonadati; Pseudomonadota; Gammaproteobacteria; Enterobacterales; Enterobacteriaceae
Also listed under: 3 other names
Description: bacterial LSU rRNA
Rfam family: Bacterial large subunit ribosomal RNA
Source: RNAcentral